CCACGUUCUGUUGGACGGACGCAUCAAACUCAGAUAAGCAGUAAUGCAAUGGUGACAAGAGACAUACGCGUGUGUAUAAACCACGUUUUUCAAACCUAAGUUUUCUUAAUAAAGUCAGAAAGAAGUGGCUGGAAGUAUAGUAAGACAAACUUGAGAGGGAAGUUAGUUGAAGGAGUAUGGAACUACUUGGGAUCUAAAUAAUUGACAGAUCAUAUGUAAUUAUUGGUAAACACCUGUGCAAAUUUCGUGACAGAUACUAGCAAAGUAGUCGGCUGCAUGGCGAUCUGAGUCCAUUCUAUCAGCUCCUGGAACUGAGGCCGCAACAGCUUACCAACACGGCUUAAGAGACUGUGGAACGAGAGUUGAGUUCCACAUGUACAAGAACAACCCUUAUCUCUGUCCAGGUAAUCUAACUCAUACGCAUUGUUAAGCAAUAAGCAAAGAGAAUAAACGUCUAUGAUACCUUACUAUCUUGGAACAGCCAUUCUUUUGCAACCGCUAUUGCCCGUUAGUCGCUGAGGAUUUGAAACCUCAGAAGCUUCAUAAGGUUGGAGGAGGUAUCUUAAGUGAUCCAAUCAUAUUCUUAGAACAUGGAAUGUCAUGGC
This 605-nucleotide long non-coding RNA is filed under the name Linum usitatissimum (flax). RNAcentral's name for it is "long non-coding RNA (LUSI_LNC006402)". Lineage: Eukaryota; Viridiplantae; Streptophyta; Magnoliopsida; Malpighiales; Linaceae. The record is from RNAcentral.